Drosophila miranda is the source of this 371-nucleotide long non-coding RNA. RefSeq lists it as uncharacterized. NCBI's taxonomy places the organism in Eukaryota, Metazoa, Arthropoda, Insecta, Diptera, Drosophilidae. The record is from RefSeq and is a predicted model, not a curated record. The transcript is spliced from 2 exons.
GUAAGACAGUAUGUUUCGGUAUAUUUCUGAGGGUCACACUGGUCUCACUUGACGCGUACAAAAUUUGACAUCUACGGAAAGCGGCGCCAGAUUGUGUGAAAAAAGUUGCGCAACUGCUGUACUUUAUGGCUGGCCGGCGAUGCUGCCAACAAUUCCCAUGCACAUUUCGGUCGUCAGAGCACGACAUUUUCAUGCGAUACGCCAGCUCUUUGGGCUUGCGGGCGCAAUGCGUGUUUAAUAAUGGCGAAAUUAUCAAAGUAUUCAAGCAAGCUUGCCGCCAUUACUUGGAGGAGCCGAAAAUAAUGACAUUCUCGCCUUCGACGGCAAUAAACAUUCUAACCAUGUUGGGACGAUCAGGCAACUUGGGAAAA